Paramuricea clavata is the source of this 947-nucleotide non-coding RNA. Lineage: Eukaryota; Metazoa; Cnidaria; Anthozoa; Malacalcyonacea; Plexauridae. The record is from the annotation of a GenBank genome assembly.
CAGCCUUUCCCAAUGUAUGGCUCUAUCAGUCAGGCUCUAUCAGUCAGCCACCCAGCCUAAAACAUGUGCAAGGGGCCGCUUAUAUAAAGGCAAGUCAGUCCAGGUAACUAACCUGGUUAUAGCUCGCUUUCACUGGAUGAAUGUCUGUUUACAUGAAAUUCAAAUUCAAAUUCAAAUUUAUUUCACACGUUUACAAAAGAUAUAGUUAGACAUUAAUUACAUCACAAAAAAAUCAUAAUGGAAGGGAAAAAAAGGGAGUUAAUUAUGGUAUUGUAUCGUGUACAGUGGCCAAAGUAGCUGCGAAGCUUUCGAGUUGGCCACCGUUUACAAAAUUGUUGUUUUGUGACUGUUUACAUAAUUGAGAAAAAAGAAAAGAACAUGACGUGUUUGGUGUGGCUGGAUCAGUGUCUGGAUUCUACGUUUGGCUUAGGAUAAGUUUUCUUGUAUAUUUAGAUUUAAAUAUUCUAACUGAAGUCGACUGCUUAAUAUGUAGGUCUAUCGUUUCCCAAAUAUUGGAUGACGAAAAAAGAAAAGUGUGUUUGCCGUAAUUUGUGCGCGCUUUUGGUCUGCUAAAGUUUUGAUUUGCCGCGAAUCUUGUAUUAUACGAGUGACAGGUAGAUGCGAUGGAUAUGGAGUUUGCAAAAACUGACGGUAUUAAGUUGUUAAGGAUUUUAUAUGUAAAAAUUGCAAUUUUCAAUUUAAAAACAUUGUCAACGUUGAGUAUUCCCAAUAGAUUGAGGUAGGUACUGGCAUCUUCUCUUUUAUGCGCAAAGAAAAUGUUUCGUACACAUUUAUUUUGAGCAAUGCGAAUUUUGGAUAGAUGGGUAGUAUAGGUGUUUCCCCAGCUCAUUAUUCCGUAGUUAAGAUAUGGAUAGAUUAGGGAAUAGUAGAGUUGUUUCAACAUCUGUAGGUUCACAUAAUAUCGCAAUUUAUUAAGGAUGCCAGUG